RNAcentral lists this ribosomal RNA (409 nucleotides) under uncultured bacterium. Its description in RNAcentral is "bacterial SSU rRNA". It matches the Rfam family "Bacterial small subunit ribosomal RNA", at positions 509 to 916 of the family's 1533-position model. The record is from RNAcentral.
CAGCAGCCGCGGUAAGACGUAGGGGGCAAGCGUUGUUCGGAAUUAUUGGGCGUAAAGGGUGCGUAGGUGGAUUCGUAAGUCGAGGUUGAAAUAUCCGGGCUUAACUCGGGGACCGGCCUCGAUACUGCGGAUCUCGAGUCAAGAAGAGGGUAUUGGAACUCCGAGUGUAGCGGUGAAAUGCGUAGAUAUUCGGAAGAACACCAGUGGCGAAGGCGGAUACCUGGUCUUGCACUGACGCUGAGGCACGAAAGCUGGGGAAGCAAACGGGAUUAGAUACCCCGGUAGUCCCAGCCGUAAACGAUGAAUGCUAGGUGUGAGGGGUAUCGACCCCCUUCGUGCCGCAGUUAACACAAUAAGCAUUCCGCCUGGGGAGUACGGCCGCAAGGUUAAAACUCAAAGGAAUUGACGG